Ruditapes philippinarum (Manila clam) is the source of this 663-nucleotide long non-coding RNA. RefSeq lists it as uncharacterized. The record is from RefSeq and is a predicted model, not a curated record. NCBI's taxonomy places the organism in Eukaryota, Metazoa, Mollusca, Bivalvia, Venerida, Veneridae. The transcript is spliced from 3 exons.
AGGAAUAGAAUAGUCAAUGUCAUGACUAUUGCUAUGGUUGUCAAAUUCAAGGUUACCAGUUCUAGCAAUUUGAAGGAAGGCUCAGUUACAAAAAAAAUGUUUGAAUAGAUAUCCCUGGAGUACCUGGUGUUGCCUAUAUCCUUAAAGCUACAUGCAAGGGACCCCAAAUUUGUGAAGAACAAUGUUGUGGGCUGUAGAGUGAUCAGGGUUUUGACACAACUGGAUAUUCCCAGUUUCUGAUAGACAUAGAGGAAAGAAUCCUCCAGGCAACUAAUGCCCCCUAUACCAUCAUCAACAGUAAUGGAGGUCAAGGUCAAGGAAAUGCUCCGAUGUCAAUCGUGUCAAUUUUGGACGGACAGCUCACUAAAUAUUGUAGAGUGACCAGAUAAAUGGACAGUCUUAAAUCGAACCAAUAAAAGGUAAAAAUCAAUUUAUUCAUAACUAUUUAGACAUGUUAAUCACAUUUUAAGUUAAAAGUUGAGCAUACAGGGACAGAUGAGUUUAGAGUACAUGGAGAGUUGAGCGUACGGGGUGAGUUGAGUGUACAGGGAGAGUAGAGUUUUGUUUAGCGUACUGGAAGAUUUGAGUUGAAGUGAGGUUACAGGGAGAGUUGAGUUACGUAUAUGGGGAGAUUUGAGUUGAGUGUGCGGUGAGUUGAGUUGA